CAGCAGCCACGGGAACACGAAGGGUGCAAGCGUUAAUCGGAAUUACUGGGCGUAAAGCGUGCGUAGGCGGUUUCUUAAGUCUGCUGUGAAAUCCCCGGGCUCAACCUGGGAAUGGCAGUGGAUACUGGGAAGCUAGAGUGUGUCAGAGGAUGGUGGAAUUCCCGGUGUAGCGGUGAAAUGCGUAGAGAUCGGGAGGAACAUCAGUGGCGAAGGCGGCCAUCUGGGACAACACUGACGCUGAGGCACGAAAGCGUGGGGAGCAAACAGGAUUAGAUACCCCGGUAGUCCCUGUCUCUUAUAA
RNAcentral lists this ribosomal RNA (301 nucleotides) under uncultured bacterium. RNAcentral describes it as "partial 16S ribosomal RNA". It matches the Rfam family "Bacterial small subunit ribosomal RNA", at positions 509 to 809 of the family's 1533-position model. The record is from RNAcentral.